This 534-nucleotide ribosomal RNA is filed under the name uncultured bacterium. RNAcentral's name for it is "bacterial SSU rRNA". It matches the Rfam family "Bacterial small subunit ribosomal RNA", at positions 977 to 1509 of the family's 1533-position model. The record is from RNAcentral.
GGCCUUGACAUACUAAGAACUUUCCAGAGAUGGAUUGGUGCCUUCGGGAACUUAGAGUACAGGUGCUGCAUGGCUGUCGUCAGCUCGUGUCGUGAGAUGUUGGGUUAAGUCCCGCAACGAGCGCAACCCUUUUCCUUAUUUGCCAGCGGGUCAUGCCGGGAACUUUAAGGAUACUGCCAGUGACAAACUGGAGGAAGGCGGGGACGACGUCAAGUCAUCAUGGCCCUUACGGCCAGGGCUACACACGUGCCACAAUGGUCGGUACAAAGGGUUGCUACCUCGCGAGAGGAUGCUAAUCUCAAAAAGCCGAUCGUAGUCCGGAUCGCAGUCUGCAACUCGACUGCGUGAAGUCGGAAUCGCUAGUAAUCGCGGAUCAGAAUGCCGCGGUGAAUACGUUCCCGGGCCUUGUACACACCGCCCGUCACACCAUGGGAGUUUGUUGCACCAGAAGUAGGUAGUCUAACCGCAAGGAGGACGCUUACCACGGUGUGGCCGAUGACUGGGGUGAAGUCGUAACAAGGUAAGCGUAGAUGA